GNGGGGGUCUAUAAUGCAGUCGAGCGGACCGACGGGAGCUUGCUCCCUUAGGUCAGCGGCGGACGGGUGAGUAACACGUGGGUAACCUGCCUGUAAGACUGGGAUAACUCCGGGAAACCGGGGCUAAUACCGGAUGCUUGAUUGAACCGCAUGGUUCAAUCAUAAAAGGUGGCUUUUAGCUACCACUUACAGAUGGACCCGCGGCGCAUUAGCUAGUUGGUGAGGUAACGGCUCACCAAGGCGACGAUGCGUAGCCGACCUGAGAGGGUGAUCGGCCACACUGGGACUGAGACACGGCCCAGACUCCUACGGGAGGCAGCAGUAGGGAAUCUUCCGCAAUGGACGAAAGUCUGACGGAGCAACGCCGCGUGAGUGAUGAAGGUUUUCGGAUCGUAAAACUCUGUUGUUAGGGAAGAACAAGUACCGUUCGAAUAGGGCGGCACCUUGACGGUACCUAACCAGAAAGCCACGGCUAACUACGUGCCAGCAGCCGCGGUAAUACGUAGGUGGCAAGCGUUGUCCGGAAUUAUUGGGCGUAAAGCGCGCGCAGGCGGUUUCUUAAGUCUGAUGUGAAAGCCCCCGGCUCAACCGGGGAGGGUCAUUGGAAACUGGGGAACUUGAGUGCAGAAGAGGAGAGUGGAAUUCCACGUGUAGCGGUGAAAUGCGUAGAGAUGUGGAGGAACACCAGUGGCGAAGGCGACUCUCUGGUCUGUAACUGACGCUGAGGCGCGAAAGCGUGGGGAGCGAACAGGAUUAGAUACCCUGGUAGUCCACGCCGUAAACGAUGAGUGCUAAGUGUUAGAGGGUUUCCGCCCUUUAGUGCUGCAGCAAACGCAUUAAGCACUCCGCCUGGGGAGUACGGUCGCAAGACUGAAACUCAAAGGAAUUGACGGGGGCCCGCACAAGCGGUGGAGCAUGUGGUUUAAUUCGAAGCAACGCGAAGAACCUUACCAGGUCUUGACAUCCUCUGACAACCCUAGAGAUAGGGCUUCCCCUUCGGGGGCAAAAUGACAGGUGGUGCAUGGUUGUCGUCAGCUCGUGUCCUGAAAUGUUGGGUUAAGUCCCGCAACGAGCGCAACCCUUGAUCUUAGUUGCCAGCAUUCAGUUGGGCACUCUAAGGGGACUGCCGGGGACAAACCGGAG
This 1143-nucleotide ribosomal RNA is filed under the name Bacillus licheniformis. RNAcentral describes it as "bacterial SSU rRNA". It matches the Rfam family "Bacterial small subunit ribosomal RNA", at positions 42 to 1168 of the family's 1533-position model. Lineage: Bacteria; Bacillati; Bacillota; Bacilli; Caryophanales; Bacillaceae. The record is from RNAcentral.